GAGUUUGAUCGUGGCUCAGGAUGAACGCUGGCGGCGUGCCUAACACAUGCAAGUCGAGCGAAGCACUUUAAUUUGAUUCUUCGGGAUGAAGGUUUUUGUGACUGAGCGGCGGACGGGUGAGUAACGCGUGGGCAACCUGCCUUACACAGGGGGAUAACAGUUAGAAAUGACUGCUAAUACCGCAUAAGACCACAGUACUGCAUGGUGCAGUGGUAAAAAACUCCGGUGGUGUAAGAUGGGCCCGCGUCUGAUUAGGUAGUUGGCAGGGUAACGGCCCACCAAGCCGACGAUCAGUAGCCGACCUGAGAGGGUGACCGGCCACAUUGGGACUGAGACACGGGCCCAGACUCCUACGGGAGGCAGCAGUGGGGAAUAUUGCACAAUGGGGGAAACCCUGAUGCAGCGACGCCGCGUGAGCGAUGAAGUAUUUCGGUAUGUAAAGCUCUAUCAGCAGGGAAGAAAAUGACGGUACCUGACUAAG
RNAcentral lists this ribosomal RNA (481 nucleotides) under uncultured microorganism. Its description in RNAcentral is "bacterial SSU rRNA". It matches the Rfam family "Bacterial small subunit ribosomal RNA", at positions 9 to 487 of the family's 1533-position model. The record is from RNAcentral.